AGAGUUUGAUCAUGGCUCAGAACGAACGCUGGCGGCGUGCCUAACACAUGCAAGUCGUGCGGGAAAGUUCCCUUCGGGGAGCGAGUACAGCGGCGCACGGGUGAGUAACACGUAGGUAACCUACUCGCGAGACUGGGAUAACCUGCCGAAAGGCGGGCUAAUACUGGAUAAGACCACGGGGGCUGCGGUUCCCGGGGUAAAAGGUGGCCUCUGCUUGCAAGCUACCACUCACGAAUGGGCCUGCGCGCCAUUAGCUAGUUGGCGGGGCAAUGGCCCACCAAGGCGAAGAUGGCUAGCUGGUCUUAGAGGAUGGCCAGCCACACUGGGACUGAGACACGGCCCAGACUCCUACGGGAGGCAGCAGUGGGGAAUAUUGCGCAAUGGGCGAAAGCCUGACGCAGCGACGCCGCGUGGGUGAUGAAGGCCUUCGGGUCGUAAAGCCCUGUCGGGAGAGACGAAACCUCGGCGACCUAAUACGUCGUCGAUCUGACGGUAUCUCCUAAGGAAGCACCGGCUAACUCCGUGCCAGCAGCCGCGGUAAUACGGAGGGUGCAAGCGUUGUUCGGAAUUACUGGGCGUAAAGCGCGUGUAGGCGGUCACCUAAGUCUGAUGUGAAAGCCCGGGGCUUAACCCCGGAAGUGCAUUGGAAACUGGGCGACUCGAGUGCCGGAGAGGAGGGUGGAAUUCCUGGUGUAGCGGUGAAAUGCGUAGAUAUCAGGGAGGAACACCGGUGGCGAAGGCGGGCCCUCUGGACGGAUACUGACGCUGAGACGCGAAAGCGUGGGGAGCAAACAGGAUUAGAUACCCUGGUAGUCCACGCUGUAAACGAUGGGCACUAGGUGUUCGGGGUAUUGACCCCCUGAGUGCCGCAGCUAACGCAUUAAGUGCCCCGCCUGGGGACUACGGCCGCAAGGUUAAAACUCAAAUGAUGACGGGA
RNAcentral lists this ribosomal RNA (937 nucleotides) under uncultured delta proteobacterium. Its description in RNAcentral is "bacterial SSU rRNA". It matches the Rfam family "Bacterial small subunit ribosomal RNA", at positions 8 to 918 of the family's 1533-position model. Lineage: Bacteria; Deltaproteobacteria. The record is from RNAcentral.